GGUUGGUUUGAAGGUAGCGAGUUAUCUCAACUGAUUGCUCACAGUCAGUUACGGGUCCAACUCCUUAUUCUGUUCCUUCCCCUGUUACUACUGCACUUGACUAAUCAAAA
This is a Y RNA of Callithrix jacchus (white-tufted-ear marmoset), 110 nucleotides long. It matches the Rfam family "Y RNA". Rfam says of the family: Y RNAs are components of the Ro ribonucleoprotein particle (Ro RNP), in association with Ro60 and La proteins. The Y RNAs and Ro60 and La proteins are well conserved, but the function of the Ro RNP is not known. The record is from Ensembl. Lineage: Eukaryota; Metazoa; Chordata; Mammalia; Primates; Cebidae.